GUAGAUGGGGUGUCUAAAUUAUAAUCCAUAGAAUUUUUUGAUAAUUUGCCAAAAUGUAGUUUAUAUCGUGCUUUUCAAAAAAUAAUAAUAAAAAGAAUGGGUCACCGGGCUUAUUUUCACGCUACACGGUGUUCAAAAUUGACAAAUUUUGUAUAGAUUAUGCAUGGAAAACCCAAUUUUCUGCAAUAAAGCAUAAUCUACACCAUAGAAUUUUGAGAUAACAUAUGAGAAGAUGGCUUUAAUGGUAUGCUUUCAGUUAAGAAAAAGAAACAAUGGGGUCACCGGACCUGUUUUCUUGCUACAUUUUAAAAUAGGUAAAUUCCUAACACAAUCCAGUGUAAAAGUACCUUAAUCUGAAUUAUCUGCCCUUGCAUUUGAGUUGCCUCCCCUUAUUUGGUAAAGUUGGAAAAAAAAUUAUCAAACAAAAGUUUUCUGUUUUUUGUAAAAUACAACCAUAAAUAUGAUAAAACAUGUCAUUUUCUAUAUCGAAGUGGAAGUUCUUACACAUGAGUUACCUACUACUCUAAAUAUUUGCACAUUCUAUUCAAGAUCUAGACCUUGUUUUCUGGUAUUUUCAAAUCCAAGAUGGAGGAAGACACCC
RNAcentral lists this long non-coding RNA (601 nucleotides) under Mytilus galloprovincialis (Mediterranean mussel). The record is from RNAcentral. Lineage: Eukaryota; Metazoa; Mollusca; Bivalvia; Mytilida; Mytilidae.